Molecule: unclassified non-coding RNA, 413 nt
Filed under: Hevea brasiliensis (rubber tree)
Lineage: Eukaryota; Viridiplantae; Streptophyta; Magnoliopsida; Malpighiales; Euphorbiaceae
Source: RNAcentral
GUGCAAUCAAGAAUUGAUUUUUUAGACAUGUCAAAUUCUCAUUGGUGUGAUUGUCAAGUUUGGAUUCUUUGAUUGGUUUUAUUAAAUUUUUGGGUUUAUCAAAAAAAAAAAGAAAAACUUAUAGUGCUGUUGAAGGGUAAAAAAUGGAAAGAAAAAGUUAAAAUGAGAAAAGAGAUUAUUGUUGUGGUGGGACAAGUUGGCUCUUGUCUUGCUUGCUAAAUUUGGUUAAAAUCUAGGCCCACAUAUCCCACCUCUUGCCUUUUGUACAUCUCUAUUUCACACUUGAAUAGUUGUAAUUGCCUCCAUUUGGUAAAAUUACUUAUAUACCCUCCUCACAUCUUUGCUACUUUUACUUAAAUUAUCAAAUUUUAUAUUGAAAUAAAACAUUUUUAAAUUCAUAAACUAUAAAUAUG